RNAcentral lists this long non-coding RNA (609 nucleotides) under Fukomys damarensis (Damara mole-rat). RNAcentral describes it as "lncRNA (ENSFDAG00000022924.1)". The record is from RNAcentral. Lineage: Eukaryota; Metazoa; Chordata; Mammalia; Rodentia; Bathyergidae.
GGUGUAUCAGCAGAGACCUCUGGACCAAGCAAAUGUCUUUUACUUGUAGGGCAGCUCUUAUGGGUUCCUCAUGCCCCAGUUCCCCAUGGGGUGACAAGGUGAGAGCGUCCAUCGCACCUGUCCGUGGAGCAUUGGAGAUGAUGAAGUUUGGAGAGUGUAGAAGCUGGAGACUCCAAAGGCUUCUCCAGUGAAAUCCUAUCACAUCAGUGGAGACCCUCCAAGACCUGUCUCUGUCCUGCAUCUGCAUGGUCCCUCGUUUUCCUCAUCCUGCAUCCCAUGCUCUGGGCCCACCCAAUGGCUGAGUUCCAGAGGGACCACCUCUCCUGUAAGUCCUGCCCAAGAGCAGUCACUUGGCAACACCCAUAGCCACACCAAAUUGCAAGAGGCUGGGACAUGGCAACCAUUUAAAUGAGGUUCUUGUUGCCCUGAAUGGAACAGUGAUUCUGUGACCAAAGAAGGUAGGUAAACAUGACGAUUAUGGUAAAUAUAUCUUGUAAAUUCUCAAAAAUCACAGAGCAAAUUCUAAACCUUAUUGCAAAAACUAAGUACACAAGGUAAUACAUAUGUUAAUAUGGCAAUUUUACCAUUACCCACAUGCACAUACACCAG